AAAGUCGUAACAAGGUAUCCGUAGGUGAACCUGCGGAUGGAUCAUUAUAGAAUGGUAAAGACAUCUCCUGUCUCUUACUACUCACAUACCUCUGUGGUGUAGAUAGAUGUGUCUGUUGGGUGGAGCGGCGGUCGCCGCGCGGUGUCAAGCCGCGCGCACUGUCGCUUGCCCGGCCUCAUACAAACCUACUCAACUUCUCUACUAAUACCGACUGAUGUUGCCUUGCGAGCGAGCGGUCGUGUCUCUGUGCACGGCUGCAGACUACCAAGUAAAACAAUUGUAAUCAAAUACAACUGCUAGCAACGGAUCACUCGGCUCUC
RNAcentral lists this unclassified non-coding RNA (320 nucleotides) under Basidiomycota sp. RNAcentral describes it as "partial contains small subunit ribosomal RNA and internal transcribed spacer 1". The stretch from base 1 to 47 matches the Rfam family "Eukaryotic small subunit ribosomal RNA", at positions 1785 to 1831 of the family's 1831-position model. The record is from RNAcentral. Lineage: Eukaryota; Fungi; Basidiomycota.